This 691-nucleotide ribosomal RNA is filed under the name uncultured bacterium. Its description in RNAcentral is "bacterial SSU rRNA". It matches the Rfam family "Bacterial small subunit ribosomal RNA", at positions 32 to 715 of the family's 1533-position model. The record is from RNAcentral.
AACGCUAGCUACAGGCUUAACACAUGCAAGUCGAGGGGCAGCAUUGGAGUAGCAAUACUUCAGAUGGCGACCGGCGCACGGGUGAGUAACACGUAUCCAACCUGCCGCUUACUCGGGGAUAGCCUUUCGAAAGAAAGAUUAAUACCCGAUGGUAUAAAGAGUUCGCAUGUUCUCUUUAUUAAAGAAUUUCGGUAAGCGAUGGGGAUGCGUUCCAUUAGAUAGUUGGCGGGGUAACGGCCCACCAAGUCUACGAUGGAUAGGGGUUCUGAGAGGAAGGUCCCCCACAUUGGAACUGAGACACGGUCCAAACUCCUACGGGAGGCAGCAGUGAGGAAUAUUGGUCAAUGGACGAGAGUCUGGACCAGCCAAGUAGCGUGAAGGAUGACUGCCCUAUGGGUUGUAAACUUCUUUUAUAAGGGAAUAAAGUGAGGGACGUGUCCCUUUUUGUAUGUACCUUAUGAAUAAGGAUCGGCUAACUCCGUGCCAGCAGCCGCGGUAAUACGGAGGAUCCAAGCGUUAUCCGGAUUUAUUGGGUUUAAAGGGAGCGUAGGUUGACAUAUAAGUCAGCUGUGAAAGUUUACGGCUCAACCGUGAAAUUGCAGUUGAUACUGUAUGUCUUGAGUGUACAAGAGGUGGGCGGAAUUCGUGGUGUAGCGGUGAAAUGCUUAGAUAUCACGAAGAACUCCGAUUG